UAUAUCGGAACGUACCCUAGAGUGGGGGAUAACGUAGCGAAAGUUACGCUAAUACCGCAUACGAUCUAAGGAUGAAAGUGGGGGAUCGCAAGACCUCAUGCUCGUGGAGCGGCCGAUAUCUGAUUAGCUAGUUGGUAGGGUAAAAGCCUACCAAGGCAUCGAUCAGUAGCUGGUCUGAGAGGACGACCAGCCACACUGGAACUGAGACACGGUCCAGACUCCUACGGGAGGCAGCAGUGGGGAAUUUUGGACAAUGGGCGAAAGCCUGAUCCAGCAAUGCCGCGUGAGUGAAGAAGGCCUUCGGGUUGUAAAGCUCUUUUGUCAGGGAAGAAACGGUGAGAGCUAAUAUCUCUUGCUAAUGACGGUACCUGAAGAAUAAGCACCGGCUAACUACGUGCCAGCAGCCGCGGUAAUACGUAGGGUGCAAGCGUUAAUCGGAAUUACUGGGCGUAAAGCGUGCGCAGGCGGUUUUGUAAGUCUGAUGUGAAAUCCCCGGGCUCAACCUGGGAAUUGCAUUGGAGACUGCAAGGCUAGAAUCUGGCAGAGGGGGGUAGAAUUCCACGUGUAGCAGUGAAAUGCGUAGAUAUGUGGAGGAACACCGAUGGCGAAGGCAGCCCCCUGGGUCAAGAUUGACGCUCAUGCACGAAAGCGUGGGGAGCAAACAGGAUUAGAUACCCUGGUAGUCCACGCCCUAAACGAUGUCUACUAGUUGUCGGGUCUUAAUUGACUUGGUAACGCAGCUAACGCGUGAAGUAGCACCGCCUGGGGAGUACGGUCGCAAGAUUAAAACUCAAAGGAAUUGACGGGGACCCGCACAAGCGGUGGAUGAUGUGGAUUAAUUCGAUGCAACGCGAAAAACCUUACCUACCCUUGACAUGGCUGGAAUCCUUGAGAGAUCAGGGAGUGCUCGAAAGAGAACCAGUACACAGGUGCUGCAUGGCUGUCGUCAGCUCGUGUCGUGAGAUGUUGGGUUAAGUCCCGCAACGAGCGCAACCCUUGUCAUUAGUUGCUACGAAAGGGCACUCUAAUGAGACUGCCGGUGACAAACCGGAGGAAGGUGGGGAUGACGUCAAGUCCUCAUGGCCCUUAUGGGUAGGGCUUCACACGUCAUACAAUGGUACAUACAGAGCGCCGCCAACCCGCGAGGGGGAGCUAAUCGCAGAAAGUGUAUCGUAGUCCGGAUUGUAGUCUGCAACUCGACUGCAUGAAGUUGGAAUCGCUAGUAAUCGCGGAUCAGCAUGUCGCGGUGAAUACGUUCCCGGGGCU
RNAcentral lists this ribosomal RNA (1266 nucleotides) under Janthinobacterium sp. 4-36. RNAcentral describes it as "bacterial SSU rRNA". It matches the Rfam family "Bacterial small subunit ribosomal RNA", at positions 114 to 1381 of the family's 1533-position model. Lineage: Bacteria; Pseudomonadati; Pseudomonadota; Betaproteobacteria; Burkholderiales; Oxalobacteraceae. The record is from RNAcentral.